UGUGGGCUUGCAUGGUGGCCAUUAAAGCCUC
This 31-nucleotide non-coding RNA is filed under the name Macaca fascicularis (crab-eating macaque). Lineage: Eukaryota; Metazoa; Chordata; Mammalia; Primates; Cercopithecidae. The record is from RNAcentral. RNAcentral also lists the same sequence under 1 other name.